UUGGCUAAAUUUGUGCCMGCAGCUGCGGUUAAACAAAAAAUACAAAUAAAUUUUAUAAAUUUAUAAGUUAAAUUGAAUUUAUUUAUUAAAUUAAAAAAAAAAUUUUAGGUGAAAUUUUAUUUUUUUUUAAUUUAUAUAAGAAAUUAUAUUGAAUCUUGAAAAUUUUAUUUUUAAACUAGGAUUAGAUACCCUAUUAUUUAAUUAUUUAUAAAUAUAAAGAUUAAAGUAGUAAUAGUUAUGAUCUUGAAACUUAAAAAAUUUGGCGGUAUUUUAGUCUAUUCAGAGGAACCUGUAUUAUAAUCGAUAAUCCACGAUGGAUCUUACUUAAUUUUGUGAUUUUAUUUGUAUAUCGCCGUUAUUUGAAAAUUUUAUAAGAAAAAUAAUUUUCUAAAAUUUUUAUUAAAAAAUAAAUCAGGUCAAGGUGCAGUUUAUGGUUAAGUUUUAUAUGGGUUACAAUAAAAUUAUUUAUAUGGAUUAAAAAAUGAAAUAUUUUUAAGAAGGKGGAUUUGAUAGUAAAUUUUUAUAGAUAAAAGAAUUGAUUUUAGCUCUAAAAUAUGU
RNAcentral lists this ribosomal RNA (558 nucleotides) under Campsicnemus truncatus. RNAcentral describes it as "partial 12S ribosomal RNA". The record is from RNAcentral. Lineage: Eukaryota; Metazoa; Arthropoda; Insecta; Diptera; Dolichopodidae.